Molecule: ribosomal RNA, 513 nt
Filed under: Halolamina sp.
Lineage: Archaea; Methanobacteriati; Methanobacteriota; Halobacteria; Halobacteriales; Haloferacaceae
Description: bacterial SSU rRNA
Rfam family: Archaeal small subunit ribosomal RNA
Source: RNAcentral
GCUCAGUAACACGUGGCCAAACUACCCUGCAGACAAGAACAACCUCGGGAAACUGAGGCUAACACUUGAUACGCGUUGACUGUUGGAAGACAUCGACGUUCAAACGCUCCGGCGCUGUAGGAUGUGGCUGCGGCCGAUUAGGUAGACGGUGGGGUAACGGCCCACCGUGCCGAUAAUCGGUACGGGUUGUGAGAGCAAGAGCCCGGAGACGGAAUCUGAGACAAGAUUCCGGGCCCUACGGGGCGCAGCAGGCGCGAAACCUUUACACUGCACGCCAGUGCGAUAAGGGAACCCCGAGUGAAAGGGCAUAUCGCCCUUUCUUUUCUGAACCGUAGGGAGGUUCAGGAACAAGAGCUGGGCAAGACCGGUGCCAGCCGCCGCGGUAAUACCGGCAGCUCGAGUGAUGACCGAUUUUAUUGGGCCUAAAGCGUCCGUAGCUGGCCGCACAAGUCUGUCGGGAAAUCCGCCCGCUUAACGAGUGGGCGUCCGGCGGAAACUGUGCGGCUUGGGACA